AUGAGCGUCGGCCUUCUGUGCUGUGUGGCCUUUUGUCUCCUGCAGACAGGUCGAGUGAAUGCUGACAUCACUCAGAACCCAAGAUUCCAGGUCCUGGAGACAGGACAGAGUGUGACACUGAGUUGUACCCAGGAUAUGAACCAUGACAACAUGUACUGGUAUCGACAGGAUCCUGGGCUGGGGCUGAGGCUGAUCUAUUACUCAUAUGGUGUUGACAGCACUGACAAAGGAGAUGUCCCCGAUGGCUACAGUGUUUCCAGAUCAAGUACAGAGAACUUCCCCCUCACUCUGGCGUCUGCCACCCCCUCGCAGACAUCUGUGUACUUCUGUGCCAGCAGCUACUCCACAGUGCUGCACGGCCUCCUCCUCUCUGCACAUAAAGGCGGGGGAGGCUCUGCACCCUGA
This is a non-coding RNA of Galeopterus variegatus (Sunda flying lemur), 405 nucleotides long. The record is from the annotation of a RefSeq genome assembly. Lineage: Eukaryota; Metazoa; Chordata; Mammalia; Dermoptera; Cynocephalidae.